Molecule: ribosomal RNA, 433 nt
Filed under: uncultured bacterium
Lineage: Bacteria
Description: partial 16S ribosomal RNA
Rfam family: Bacterial small subunit ribosomal RNA
Source: RNAcentral
AACGAACGCUGGCGGCAUGCCUAACACAUGCAAGUCGAACGAGACCUUCGGGUCUAGUGGCGCACGGGUGCGUAACGCGUGGGAACCUGCCCUUAGGUUCGGAAUAACUCCCUGAAAGGGGUGCUAAUACCGGAUAAUGUCUUCGGACCAAAGAUUUAUCGCCUUUGGAUGGGCCCGCGUUGGAUUAGCUAGUUGGUAGGGUAAAAGCCUACCAAGGCGACGAUCCAUAGCUGGUCUGAGAGGCUGAUCAGCCACACUGGGACUGAGACACGGCCCAGACUCCUACGGGAGGGAGCAGUGGGGAAUAUUGGACAAUGGGCGGAAGGCUGAUCCAGCAAUGCCGCGUGAGUGAUGAAGGCCUGAGGGUUGUAAAGCGCUUUUACCCGGGAUGAUAAUGACAGUACCGGGAGAAUAAGCGCGGGCUAACUCCGUG